This 665-nucleotide ribosomal RNA is filed under the name Stenotrophomonas sp. HPC1289. RNAcentral describes it as "bacterial SSU rRNA". It matches the Rfam family "Bacterial small subunit ribosomal RNA", at positions 59 to 705 of the family's 1533-position model. Lineage: Bacteria; Pseudomonadati; Pseudomonadota; Gammaproteobacteria; Lysobacterales; Lysobacteraceae. The record is from RNAcentral.
UAGUCGAAUGGGCUGGGCCGCAAAAGGUUUUUGCUGGCUCCUUGGCUCGCGAGUGGCGGACGGGUGAGGAAUACAUCGGAAUCUACUCUGUCGUGGGGGAUAACGUAGGGAAACUUACGCUAAUACCGCAUACGACCUACGGGUGAAAGCAGGGGAUCUUCGGACCUUGCGCGAUUGAAUGAGCCGAUGUCGGAUUAGCUAGUUGGCGGGGUAAAGGCCCACCAAGGCGACGAUCCGUAGCUGGUCUGAGAGGAUGAUCAGCCACACUGGAACUGAGACACGGUCCAGACUCCUACGGGAGGCAGCAGUGGGGAAUAUUGGACAAUGGGCGCAAGCCUGAUCCAGCCAUACCGCGUGGGUGAAGAAGGCCUUCGGGUUGUAAAGCCCUUUUGUUGGGAAAGAAAUCCAGCUGGCUAAUACCCGGUUGGGAUGACGGUACCCAAAGAAUAAGCACCGGCUAACUUCGUGCCAGCAGCCGCGGUAAUACGAAGGGUGCAAGCGUUACUCGGAAUUACUGGGCGUAAAGCGUGCGUAGGUGGUCGUUUAAGUCCGUUGUGAAAGCCCUGGGCUCAACCUGGGAACUGCAGUGAUACUGGACGACUAGAGUGUGGUAGAGGGUAGCGGAAUUCCUGGUGUAGCAGUGAAAUGCGUAGAGAUCAGGAGGA